Streptomyces chattanoogensis is the source of this 75-nucleotide non-coding RNA. It matches the Rfam family "ASpks TB sRNA". Lineage: Bacteria; Bacillati; Actinomycetota; Actinomycetes; Kitasatosporales; Streptomycetaceae. The record is from Rfam.
CUUCACCGAGCCCAGCAGCAGCGGGCUCCCCGGGUCGCGGCCCGGUCCGUAGGUGGCGAGCAGGGCCUGGGCCUC